RNAcentral lists this ribosomal RNA (1417 nucleotides) under Klebsiella pneumoniae. RNAcentral's name for it is "bacterial LSU rRNA". It matches the Rfam family "Bacterial large subunit ribosomal RNA", at positions 1531 to 2925 of the family's 2925-position model. Lineage: Bacteria; Pseudomonadati; Pseudomonadota; Gammaproteobacteria; Enterobacterales; Enterobacteriaceae. The record is from RNAcentral.
UCCAGGCAAAUCCGGAUAAUCAAGGCUGAGGUGUGAUGACGAGGCACUACGGUGCUGAAGUAACAAAUGCCCUGCUUCCAGGAAAAGCCUCUAAGCAUCAGGUAACAUUAAAUCGUACCCCAAACCGACACAGGUGGUCAGGUAGAGAAUACCAAGGCGCUUGAGAGAACUCGGGUGAAGGAACUAGGCAAAAUGGUGCCGUAACUUCGGGAGAAGGCACGCUGGUGUGUAGGUGAAGUCCCUGCGGAUGGAGCUGAGACCAGUCGAAGAUACCAGCUGGCUGCAACUGUUUAUUAAAAACACAGCACUGUGCAAACACGAAAGUGGACGUAUACGGUGUGACGCCUGCCCGGUGCCGGAAGGUUAAUUGAUGGGGUUAUCCGUAAGGAGAAGCUCUUGAUCGAAGCCCCGGUAAACGGCGGCCGUAACUAUAACGGUCCUAAGGUAGCGAAAUUCCUUGUCGGGUAAGUUCCGACCUGCACGAAUGGCGUAAUGAUGGCCAGGCUGUCUCCACCCGAGACUCAGUGAAAUUGAACUCGCUGUGAAGAUGCAGUGUACCCGCGGCAAGACGGAAAGACCCCGUGAACCUUUACUAUAGCUUGACACUGAACAUUGAGCCUUGAUGUGUAGGAUAGGUGGGAGGCUUUGAAGCGUGGACGCCAGUCUGCGUGGAGCCAACCUUGAAAUACCACCCUUUAAUGUUUGAUGUUCUAACGUUGGCCCCUGACCGGGGUUGCGGACAGUGUCUGGUGGGUAGUUUGACUGGGGCGGUCUCCUCCCAAAGCGUAACGGAGGAGCACGAAGGUUAGCUAAUCCUGGUCGGACAUCAGGAGGUUAGUGCAAUGGCAUAAGCUAGCUUGACUGCGAGCGUGACGGCGCGAGCAGGUGCGAAAGCAGGUCAUAGUGAUCCGGUGGUUCUGAAUGGAAGGGCCAUCGCUCAACGGAUAAAAGGUACUCCGGGGAUAACAGGCUGAUACCGCCCAAGAGUUCAUAUCGACGGCGGUGUUUGGCACCUCGAUGUCGGCUCAUCACAUCCUGGGGCUGAAGUAGGUCCCAAGGGUAUGGCUGUUCGCCAUUUAAAGUGGUACGCGAGCUGGGUUUAGAACGUCGUGAGACAGUUCGGUCCCUAUCUGCCGUGGGCGCUGGAGAAUUGAGGGGGGCUGCUCCUAGUACGAGAGGACCGGAGUGGACGCAUCACUGGUGUUCGGGUUGUCAUGCCAAUGGCACUGCCCGGUAGCUAAAUGCGGAAGAGAUAAGUGCUGAAAGCAUCUAAGCACGAAACUUGCCCCGAGAUGAGUUCUCCCUGAGACUUUAAGUCUCCUGAAGGAACGUUAAAGACGAUGACGUUGAUAGGCCGGGUGUGUAAGCGCAGCGAUGCGUUGAGCUAACCGGUACUAAUGAACCGUGAGGCUUAACC